This 76-nucleotide transfer RNA is filed under the name Desulfococcus sp. 4484_241. RNAcentral's name for it is "tRNA-Thr". It matches the Rfam family "tRNA". Rfam says of the family: Transfer RNA (tRNA) molecules are approximately 80 nucleotides in length. Lineage: Bacteria; Pseudomonadati; Thermodesulfobacteriota; Desulfobacteria; Desulfobacterales; Desulfococcaceae. RNAcentral also lists the same sequence under 1 other name. The record is from RNAcentral.
GCCACCGUAGCUCAGUUGGUAGAGCAACGCACUCGUAAUGCGUAGGUCAGGAGUUCGAGUCUCCUCGGUGGCUCCA